AUUGAACGCUGGCGGCAGGCUUAACACAUGCAAGUCGAGCGGGGUGAUGGUGCUUGCACUAUCACUUAGCGGCGGACGGGUGAGUAAUGCUUAGGAAUCUGCCUAUUAGUGGGGGACAACAUCUCGAAAGGGAUGCUAAUACCGCAUACGUCCUACGGGAGAAAGCAGGGGAUCACUUGUGACCUUGCGCUAAUAGAUGAGCCUAAGUCGGAUUAGCUAGUUGGUGGGGUAAAGGCCUACCAAGGCGACGAUCUGUAGCGGGUCUGAGAGGAGGAUCCGCCAAAGUGGGACGGAGAAACGGCCCAGACUCCUACGGGAGGCAGGAGUGGGGAAUAUUGGACAAUGGGGGGAACCCUGAUCCAGCCAUGCCGCGUGUGUGAAGAAGGCCCUAUGGUUGUAGAGCACUUUAAGCGAGGAGGAGGCUCUUUUGGUUAAUACCCAAGAUGAGUGGACGUUACUCGCAGAAUAAGCACCGGCUAACUCUGUGCCAGCCGCCGCCGUAA
RNAcentral lists this ribosomal RNA (503 nucleotides) under uncultured bacterium. Its description in RNAcentral is "partial 16S ribosomal RNA". It matches the Rfam family "Bacterial small subunit ribosomal RNA", at positions 30 to 523 of the family's 1533-position model. The record is from RNAcentral.